Molecule: ribosomal RNA, 479 nt
Filed under: uncultured bacterium
Lineage: Bacteria
Description: bacterial SSU rRNA
Rfam family: Bacterial small subunit ribosomal RNA
Source: RNAcentral
AAUGAACGUUGGCGGCGUGGAUUAGGCAUGCAAGUCGAGCGAGAAGUUUUAAAAAGAUACUUCGGUUGAUUUUUAAAAUGGACAGCGGCGAAAGGGAGAGUAACGAGUAAAUACGUACCCAGGGGUUCGGGAUAGCCAUGCGAAAGCGUGAGUAAUACCGAAUAAUGUCUCCGGACCAAAGAUUUAUUGCCCUUGGAGCGGUUUGCUUACUAUUAGCUUGUUGGUGGGGUAAAGGCCUACCAAGGCUUAGAUGGUUAGCGGGUGUGAGAGCAUGACCCGUCUCACUGGGACUGAGACACUGCCCAGACACCUACGGGUGGCUGCAGUCGAGAAUCUUCCGCAAUGGACGAAAGUCUGACGGAGCGACGCCGCGUGCUGGAUGAAGGCCCUCGGGUUGUAAACAGCUGUCGUAGGGGAGGAAAUUUUGACCGAUCCUAGGAGGAAGCACAGGCUAAGUUCGUGCCAGCCGCCGCGGUAAU